UACGUAGGGGCCUAGCGUUGUCCGGAUUUAUUGGGCGUAAAGAGCUCGUAGGCGGUUCGGUAAGUCAGGUGUGAAAUCUCCACGCUCAACGUGGAGGCGCCACCUGAAACUGCCGUGACUCGAGUCCGGUAGGGGAGUGUGGAAUUCCCGGUGUAGCGGUGAAAUGCGCAGAUAUCUGGAGGAACACCGGUGGCGAAGGCGGCAUCCUGGACCGACACUGACGCUGAGGAGCGAAAGCCAGGGGAGCAAACGGG
RNAcentral lists this ribosomal RNA (254 nucleotides) under uncultured bacterium. Its description in RNAcentral is "partial 16S ribosomal RNA". It matches the Rfam family "Bacterial small subunit ribosomal RNA", at positions 524 to 776 of the family's 1533-position model. The record is from RNAcentral.